Molecule: ribosomal RNA, 200 nt
Filed under: uncultured bacterium
Lineage: Bacteria
Description: partial 16S ribosomal RNA
Rfam family: Bacterial small subunit ribosomal RNA
Source: RNAcentral
AUUGAACGCUGGCGGCAGGCCUAACACAUGCAAGUCGAGCGCGAAAGUUCUUCGGAAUGAGUAAAGCGGCGGACGGGUGAGUAAUACAUGGGAAUCUGCCUGGUAGUGGGGGACAACGUUUCGAAGGGAACGCUAAUACCGCAUACGCCCUACGGGGAAAGGGGGGAUCUUCGGACCUCUCGCUAUCAGAUGAGCCCAUG